RNAcentral lists this ribosomal RNA (573 nucleotides) under Taphrina letifera. Its description in RNAcentral is "eukaryotic LSU rRNA". It matches the Rfam family "Eukaryotic large subunit ribosomal RNA", at positions 62 to 648 of the family's 3401-position model. The record is from RNAcentral. Lineage: Eukaryota; Fungi; Ascomycota; Taphrinomycetes; Taphrinales; Taphrinaceae.
AAACUAACUAGGAUGCCUUCAGUAACGGCGAGCGAAGCAGGCAUAGCUCAAAUUUGUAAUCUGGCGUCUUUGACGUCCGAGUUGUAUUUUCUAGAAGCGAGUUCGGCGACAGCUCCUACCCAAGUCCGUUGGAACGCGGCGUCAUGGAGGGUGAGAAUCCCGUGAAUGGUAGGAUGUCUGCUGCUAUGUGAACCGCCUUCGAAGAGUCGAGUUGUUUGGGAAUGCAGCUCUAAAUGGGAGGUAAAUUUCUUCUAAAGCUAAAUAUUGGCCAGAGACCGAUAGCGAACAAGUAGAGUGAUCGAAAGAUGAAAAGAACUUUGAAAAGAGAGUUAAACAGUACGUGAAAUUGUUGAAAGGGAAGCGCUUGAGAUCAGACUUCCUGUCUGGACUGUCCUUGCUUUUGCAUGGGUCAACAGUCCAGGCGUGGAGGCCAGCAUCAGUUUUGACGGCCGGAUAAAGGCCUUGGGAAGGUAGCUCCUCUCGGGGAGUGUUAUAGCCCAGGGUGUAAUACGGCCAGUUGGGACUGAGGACCGCGGCUUUGCCUAGGAUGCUGGCGUAAUGGUCUUAAGCGAC